Pan troglodytes (chimpanzee) is the source of this 2374-nucleotide long non-coding RNA. RefSeq lists it as uncharacterized. The transcript has 2 exons. The record is from RefSeq and is a predicted model, not a curated record. Lineage: Eukaryota; Metazoa; Chordata; Mammalia; Primates; Hominidae.
GGAAUGUUCAAUUCUGCCUUGGAAGUGGCCAUAUUUGAAGGUGCUGUGAUUCAAACUGUCAGCGAGAUAAGGCAGCAGAUCAAGAAAGCACUCCGGGCUCCAGAAGGAGCCUUCCAGGCCAGCUUUGAGCAUAAGCUGCUGAUGAGCAAUACUGUCUUCAUGUGAACUUGGUAUCCUGUUUCCAUCCCAGCCUUCUAUAACCCAGUAACAUCUUUUUUGAAACCAGUGGGCGAGAAAGACACCUGGUCAGGAACGCGGACCACAGGACAACUCAGGCUCACCCACGGCAUCAGACUAAAGGCAAACAAGGACUCUGUAUAAAGUACCAGUGGCAUGUGUAUUAGUGGAGAUGCAGCCUGUGCUCUGCAGACAGGGAGUCACACAGACACUUUUCUAUAAUUUCUUAAGUGCUUUGAAUGUUCAAGUAGAAAGUCUAACAUUAAAUUUGAUUGAACAAUUGUAUAUUCAUGGAAUAUUUUGGAAUGGAAUACCAAAAAAUGGCAAUAGUGGUUCUUUCUGGAUGGAAGACAAAUUUUUCUUCUUUAAAAUAAAUUUUAUUUUAUAUAUUUGAGGUUGACCACAUGACCUUAAGGAUACAUAUAGACAGUAAACUGGUUACUACAGUGAAGCAAAUUAACAUAUCUACCAUCUUACAUAGUUACAUUUUUUGUGUGUGACAGGAACAGCCAAAAUCUACGUAUUUAACAAAAAUCCUAAAGACAAUACAUUUUUAUUAACUACAGCCCACAUGAUGUACAUUAGAUCUCUAACUUGAUCAUCCUAUAUGUCUGCUACUUUGUAUUUUCUUAAUGUACGUCUCCCCAUUUGCUAUUGGUCAUUUCCUAUUUGGCUCAUUUUUCAACUGGGUUGUUUUCCUGUUAUUAAAAGAGUUCUUUACUGAUUUUUGGACAUUAACUCUUUAUCAGAUAUGUGAUCUGCAAAUAUUUCCUCCAGUCUGUAGGUUCUCUUUUCAUUUUGUUGGUUUUUUCCUUUGCUGUGCAGAAGCUUUUUAGUUUGAUGCAGUCCUCCUUGUUUAUGUUUCCAUUUGUAGCCUGGCUUGUGGUGCGAUAUCCAAAAAAUAAUUGCUAAGGCCAAUGUCAAGAGGCUUUCCCCCUAUGUUCUCUUCUAGGAGUUUUAAGGUUUCAGGUCUUAUUUGGGUCUUGGGUCUUGUAUCUGUUUUGAGUUGAUUUUUGUGUAUGGUGUAUGAUCAGGGUCCAUUUUUAUUCUUUUGAAUGUGAAAAUCCAGUUUUCCCAGCACUAUUAUUGAAGAGACUAUUUUUCUUUCCAUUGUGUUGUCUUGUUUGCCCUUGUCAAAAAUUAGUUGACAGUAUAUGUUUGGAUUUAUUUCAAAGGUCUCUGUUCUGUUCCAUUGGUUUAUACUUUUUGUUUUUAUGCCAGUAUCAUACUGUUUUGAUUACUAUAGCUUUGUAAUACAAUUUUAAAUCAAGAGGUGUGAUGCCUCCAACUUUUUCUUUCACAGUAAUCUGUUGGCUGUUUGGGGUUUUUUGUGGUUCCAUACGAGUUUCAGGAUUGUUUUUUCUGUUUUGUUUUGUUUUGUUUUUUCUUGAGAUGAAGUCUCACUCUGUUGCCCAAGUUGGAGUGCAGUGGCACAACCUUGGCUCACUGCAACCUCUGCUUCCCGGAUUCAAGCAAUUCUCCUGCCUCAGCCUCCCAAGUAGCUGGGACUACAGGCACAUGCUGCUAUAUCCAGCUAAUUUUUGUAGUUUUAGUAGAGACAGGGUUUCACUAUAUUGGCCAGGCUGGUCUCCAAGUCCUGACCUCGUGAUCCACCUGCCUCAGCCUCCCAAAGUGCUGGGAUUACAGGCAUGAACCACAACACCUGGCCAGGAUUGUUUUUUUCUGUUCUGUGAAGAAUGCCACCAGAACAUUGAUGAGGAUUGUGUUAAAUCUAUAUAUUUGCUUUGGGUAGUGUGAACAUUUUAACAAUAUUAAUUCUUCUGAUACAUAAACAUAGGAUAUCUUUUCAUUUGUUCAUAUCUAAAUUUCUUUCAUCAAUGUUUUAUGGUUUUCAAGUGUACACAUCUUCCAUCUUAUUGGUUAAAUUCAUUCCUAAGUAUAUGUUUUUCUUUGAUGUUAUUGUAAAUGAGAUUGUUUUCUUGAUUUCUUUGUCAGCUAGGUUAUUUGUAUAUAGAAAUGCAACUGAUUUUUAUAUGUUGAGUUUAUACUUUGCAGCUUAACUGAAUUGAUUUAGUAGUUCUUAGAGUUUUUUGUGGAAUGUUUGGAGUUUUUUACAUAAAGGGUCUUGUCAUCUGCAGAUAGAGAUAAUUUUACUUCUUUAAUUUAGUUGCUUUUUUUUUCCUCAUCAGAUUGCUCUUGCAAGUACUAUGUUCAAUAAAAGUGAGGAGACUGGGCA